Molecule: ribosomal RNA, 469 nt
Filed under: uncultured bacterium
Lineage: Bacteria
Description: partial 16S ribosomal RNA
Rfam family: Bacterial small subunit ribosomal RNA
Source: RNAcentral
GACGAACGCUGGCGGCGUGCUUAACACAUGCAAGUCGAACGGAAAGGCCCUGCUUGCAGGGUGCUCGAGUGGCGAACGGGUGAGUAACACGUGGGUGAUCUGCCCCUUACUUUGGGAUAAGCCUGGGAAACUGGGUCUAAUACUGGAUAGGACCAUGCUGUAGGUGGUGUGGUGGAAAGAUUAGUUUCGGUAAGGGAUGAGCUCGCGGCCUAUCAGCUUGUUGGUGGGGUAAUGGCCUACCAAGGCGUCGACGGGUAGCCGGCCUGAGAGGGUGGACGGCCACAUUGGGACUGCGAUACGGCCCAGACGCCUACGGGAGGCAGCAGUGGGGAAUAGUGCACAAUGGGCGCAAGCCGGAUGCAGCGACGCCGCGUGGGGGAUGACGGCCUUCGGGUUGUAAACUCCUUUCAGCCAUGACGAAGCCCUUGUGGUGACGGUAGUGGUAGAAGAAGCACCGGCUAACUACGUG